UCUUUUCCUCUCACUUCUACCCGAACUACUCAAGAAAAGCUUCCCUCGGUUUCACACUUCUAGCUUCCCAGUUCCCACCGUCUCCCUUCCUCUCAAUUUUGGCCGGACGAUUCAAGAAAAGCCUGGCCUGCUGCUUCCUCUGCAAAACCUUCAUCUCCCUGCAGAAGUUCUUCUCCGAUCCAGAUUUGGUCAGUUUUCCCCAAUUUCUCUCUCGAUCUUCUUUUUGCCUUGAAAUUUUUUUGCUAAUUCUGAUAUGGAUUUGGUUUCUGCUACAGUUCUGUGGUAUUGAAAUCGGUUUGUGAUUAAGGCUCCGAACCUGAAUAGCAUAACCAUAACAGGUGUUUUUAUGUAUUGGCUUCGUCGUGAGCUUUAUAACCAUUUGCUUGCUAGGGUUUCGUUUUGGGUUCGGUUUGUUUUUGUGUUUUUUUGUUGUCAAUUUCAUGUUUGUUUUCAUGUAUUUCUGUUAUUUUUUUCCCUCUGUUUCUGCUUACAUUGAUAUUGAUAUUGAUUAGAUGCUUUGAAUUGACUCUAUUUACUUUAUAUAUAGCUUUGUUUCACUGGGUUGUCAGUUGUUAUUAUAAGACCAUGUAUUACAUUAUACGAUUAAUUGAUGUUUGAAUGAUUGUGAGUAGUACUUUCUUUGGACUUUUCUCCAUCCUUAGUUCUUGGAUUGCAGAAAGUUCCUUCAGUGCACAAUGCAAGGUCCCUGGAGUUGUAUGAGUUACUACAGUAAUGAUAUUGCAGAAGGAAGAUGAAAAAAUUACAGAAAAGUCUAGCAAGCUAGAUAAUGCUUAUUGCUUUUUACAUGAAUCUUAUGCUGGCUUUGUUUCGAGGAAAAAAACACGGAAAUUACGUGUCUUCUAUCUUUCUUAAUGUGUUUCUCAUGACCACGCUAAAGAAGUUUUCAUUUAAAAGGUUUGCCAUAUGGGCAUGUUUCAUGACGUUGUUCUAUCUACUGUAUGGUGUUCACUCGACUUAUAAGGUAGAGGAGGGGGAGAUGCAAUAAACAGAUUUGCAAAUCUAGGCCAACCAUAAUCCUUCAUGUUUAUGUAUAAUCAUCCUUCUUUUCCUGUAAAGCCUUUAUUUUUUUUUAUUUAUAUUAAUUGAUGUGGUUUAGGCCUAGCUUUUCAUCAAUUUUACUAAUCUGAGGUUCAAGGCCUUCAUAUAACAACUCUGGGUUUGCGUGCUAUGUGCUCACUCUUCAAUCUCAGUUUCAGUUUCUUUUCUUUUUUGCAGGUGGAGACUCUUUUGAUCUUUUUGAUCAAGUUUCGCAGUCAAGUUGAUUGUAUUCUUUGUGUACCAGCUCUGAAAAGGUACUUUAAUUGCAUUGAGUUUUGCUUCGGUCUUUUCAGUUACUAUGCAUGUAAUAUGGAAGGUAGCAACUAUGGUUUUUGUUAUAUCAAGCAAUAGGUCUCUAUUACAAAUAGGAAAACAACAAAAUUAUAAAGUCAUUUUGAUGUGGUAGAGGAGAGGGAGAUGCAAUAAACCGAUUUGCAAAUCUAGGCCAACCAUAAUCCUUCAUGUUUAUGUAUAAUCAUCCUUCUUUUCCUAUAUAGCCUUUCUUUGUUUUUAUUUAUAUUACUUGAUGUGGUUUAGGCCCAGCUUUUCAUCAAUUUUACUAAUUUGAGGUUCAAGGCCUUCAUAUAGCAACUCUGGGUUUGUGUGUUAUGUGUUCACUCUUCAAUCUCAGUUUCAGUUUUCUUUCUUUUUUGCAUGUGGAGACUCUUUUGAUCUUUGUGAUCCAAGUUUUGCAGUCAAGUUGAUUGUAUUCUUUGCGUACCAGCUCUGAAAAGGUACUUUAAUUGCAUCGAGUUUUGCUUUGGUCCUUUCGAGUUACUAUGCAUGUAAUAUGGAAGGUAGCAACUAUAUAUGGUUUUUGUUAUAUCAAGUAAUCGGUCUUUAUUACAAAUAGGAAAAACUAUUUUCCCGACGUUCAUUCUGUAGCUGUGAAUUAUGAUUAUUUCUUUGGUCUUCCUGAAAACAACUCAGAAUGAGAUAUCACAUAGUUUGAGGCUAAAAGGCUUUGCAGGCUAGCAUGUGUGAGAAUCAAUUUGGUUUGUCAAAGUUUGGAUUUUGGAUCUGGAAUCGGGAUUUUUGUGGGCUUUGUUGUUUUAAUAGCUAUUGAAAGAUAGUUUCUUAGUGGCCAUUGUGUGAACUAGCGUUGGUACAUGAUCGUAAGAUAAUUUGUUUUUGUGAUUGACUAAAUGGGCACAAACGUUUGUCGUUCCAAUUUUACAAUCAGUUGUUUGAUUGUUAGAUUGUCGGUUUUGUUUGGAUUUGGUUUUUUGGUUUUUGGGUUCCUUGAAAUUCGGAAAUUUGGGUUUUGGGUUUCAGAAUAGGUUAAAGGAGUUUUCAUGAUUUUGAAGCCAAACCCUUCCAAGGACCUACGUUAGAGAAAAAAACGGUGGGGCUUUGUAGACUAACAAUUAAGUCCCUUCAGGGACCAUCCAUGGAGUAUGCAGAAGUUGAAGACCUUUUAUUUGUUUAGUCCUAGAAAACAUUAAAUAGUUCAGCUAUUUUUUUCAUUUUACUGAAAUCUAGAUUUUAUCAAACAAUCAAAUUUGAAAAAGGAAUUGACGCCUUGGUUGUUGCCUCAUUCUUUUCUUUAAUCUCGAUUUAAUUUUGAGUCAUUGGAGGUGUCUCUUUGUGUUUGUUAUGGAUCAGGUUUUGCAUAAAAAAGGGAUCUUCAGUUUUUGCACAUAUUUUUGACUGAUCAUGUUUGUGACAUUCUCAACUGCUCUUGCAAAUUAAAUUGUCAUUUUCCCUUAUCAGUUCCCAAUUUGUUCAGUUACAACUUAAAUGAGGGCAAUAGCCUUAACUGCGAGUUGUCAGGGUAAGUGACAGUGACAUUCACAGAAUGAAAGCUGAACUAGCACUCAUCAAAUUUUUGUUUUUAAAUUCAGUUGUGCAUGAGAAGAUGAAUGUUGAUUGUUAGAUACCUUAAUUGAUACAAAAGCUACAUAAACUUCUUUGACAAUUUAUAUAACAUUGUCAUAUCUUCUAAAUAAUGACAUGUUUAUACUUCAUGUUGCAGAAGAGUAGUUGUGAUGCAUAUAUGAAUGCAGAAAAAAAUGAAACAAACGUCUAUCAUAGUUGUUCUACGAGUAAAUACAUCUUACUGAUUAAAUUUCUUUUUUGUCUUAUGUGACGUCCAUUUUUUUUUCAGGUUGCAAUUGAACUUCCUUACAUUUUCCCCAAGCAAUUGUCAUUUCUUCAGAGCCUAUGAUGUAAUGUACUUAUGUGCAAAUACUACAAUUCUUUAUUUCAGCUAACCUGCAGGGAGAAAUUUGACCAGCCAAUAGCAAACUCAGCAUUUUUUGUAUUUUAUAAUUUCCAAUAUGCUGCUUUUGUUAAGUUUGGUGUUGAAAUGAGGAUACUGGAUGACGGUGUACAUGUACCUGUAUAGAGCUAUAAUGGUUGUAAAGUGUAUUGAUGAUAUAUGAUUUUCUUACACUCCUGAGUACCAUGAAUUUCUCAUGAAGUUGGGAAUAAAGUCAAUGUCGGUUUUGAU
This 3511-nucleotide long non-coding RNA is filed under the name Fragaria vesca (wild strawberry). Its description in RNAcentral is "long non-coding RNA (FVES_LNC000455)". The record is from RNAcentral. Lineage: Eukaryota; Viridiplantae; Streptophyta; Magnoliopsida; Rosales; Rosaceae.